CCAGGGCUGCUGGUUCAGCAUUUUCCUUUUCCUAGGCAACGACAGGAAAGAUGAUGAUUUACCACUUCCUCCUGCUGUCAGGCAGGAAAAGGCUCCUCCAUAAGCUUUGAACUGUUGAGAGCUGUGUGGCUGCAGCAGGAGUCACACAAACAGGCUGAAGGAUGGGAAAGACCUGGAUCCUACCCAUGGCACACAUCCCAUCUGCUGCUGAGCCAUCUCAGAAGGUACCACAGGGCUGGAGGGGCACCAGCCCCAUGACUGCUUUGUGGGGCAGAAGAGAUGCCAACAGGAAAACCAGCACUCAGAGAAAUGCUGCUGCAGCAAGGGAGGGAAAACGCUGGGAUUUUUAGUCUAAACCAGAAGAUUUCCUUUAAUUGGGAGCUAUGGAAGAGCUUUUGGUGCUGGGACAGAGCAGGUUUAUCUGCAGGACUCAAGAAAUCAAACAGACAUCUAAACACUUGUUUUGACCUAAUGUGGUGUGAUAGGAGGAGGUCAGAAAUAGGGGCUGUGUUUCCUUCAGCGAGUCCAUUUUGAUGGCAGACCUGAGACCUGAAAACAGCUUUUCAAAAUGGCAAGUGAGGUCCUCUAUGCCAAGGUGUCGCCCAAGGAAAGAGUGAAUUUUACUUCAGAAGCUUCAGAUACAGGUGAUCCAAUCACAUAUGCUGUGGUGAAUAGGAGAUGGAGAUCUGACCCCCCUGACAGCACAUCCGAAAUUACACAUUCAGUGACCUGCUCGGAGGAGUUCCCCUGGUGCUACGUUGUCUUCGCCCUGCUCUUCUGCGCGGUGGUUCUGCUCCUCAUGGUCAUCCUGGUGGCAGUGAAAUGUCACAGCCACUGACCCUCUGCCACGCAGGAUAAGUCAGUACAGGAACGUUCUGCUUCAAUGAAACGGGACAUAGUGCUUGUUUUAUUUUACAUCAUCUUGGCUGAAGAGACAAAAUGAAGACAUGCCAAGAGUCUGAUCACUCUCCAGUUAUGUCAUCCCAGAUGUCUGCUAAACCUCUAACCUCUCCAUACGUGGACAAGACAUAUAUUAAUUUUAUUUGGAAUUUUCUUAAUCCUGUAAUACCAGCAACCAACCAACUAUAUCAGUGCAUGUAUCAAGACAUGGGCUCAAGUUCCUGCAUCAAAAGGUGGAUUUGGGCCUUGCUUAGACAACCAAAAUGACCAGGUGGAGACAUACUUUUAAUUCACAUCUGACUUGAUUCUGCACUGAUUUACAAUACAGAUAAGCUUUUGGAUUAUAUGCAACUGCAAAAACUCAUGGACAAAACAGGGAAUGUGUAAGGUUGCACUGAGCUUUUUUAUAAGGCCUUGGCUUGGACUUGAUUUUUCUUCUUCUGACAGCCUUAGUUGGAUUUGUAUGAAAGGGAUAUUGAAGGUUCAAGAAACUAAAUGUUUAAAUGUAGAGAAGUCUCCUCAUUGUUUCAGCUCCUCGUUGGCUUGAAUAAAAUUAUUCUGUUCCACUUGUCCAGAAGAGCAUCUCCCAAUAUACUGUUUCUGUCUUGGGCCAGUAAUUGAUUUUUUUUUUAAAUAGGGUUUGGUUUUUUUGGGUUUUUUGUUGGUUUUGUGUUUUGUUUUUUUUUUUUGUUUUGUUUUGUUUUGUUUUGUUUUGUUUGUUUGUUUGUUUGUUUUGGUUUGGUUUUUUGGGGUUUUUUUUUGUUUGGUUUGGUUUGGUUUGGUUUGUUUGUUUGUUUGUUUCCCAUAGCUCAAGUUAAAACUGAGUCCUCUACUGGAACUGAGGCACCUGAAGUUCAGAUGCAUUUGUUUGUAAUCAUAACCUUAUUGUCUAUUUUUAUAUUAUCUUUGGAUCUUGUCCAUUGUAACUUCACAGCAGGCUGCAGAGGGUUUGCAGAUCCUAAGUAGGAGGAGUCUGUAUAGCAAAUAUUUCUAGAAUAUUUCUUAUUUCUAAACUUACCUGUACUUUAGCUGUUACUGCUGUUUGGAAUGUACCCCAUCUUUAUAAUAUAUAUAUGCACAGAAGUCAGUAAAGGGGUUCAGUAAAGCACUUUUGCUGGUGUUUGGCUGGUUAGUUUGCCUCCAGUCUUCUGUUAGUCAGACUGGAGGAAAAAUAACAUUUAGUAUUUGUAUGAGUGUCAGUUUUUGUGGGGUAGCCCAUUUAUGGCACACCUAUUUUAUAGAUCUUGCUACUUAUCCUCUUUUUUUUUCAGACUUACCCUUGCCUUCCCCUCUUCACUCUUCAAGAUAAAAAUGUAGCACAUAAAACUCAAAAAGCCAGAAA
Molecule: long non-coding RNA, 2242 nt
Organism: Prinia subflava (tawny-flanked prinia)
Lineage: Eukaryota; Metazoa; Chordata; Aves; Passeriformes; Cisticolidae
Exons: 6
Source: RefSeq, a predicted model, not a curated record